RNAcentral lists this ribosomal RNA (504 nucleotides) under uncultured bacterium. Its description in RNAcentral is "bacterial SSU rRNA". It matches the Rfam family "Bacterial small subunit ribosomal RNA", at positions 28 to 521 of the family's 1533-position model. The record is from RNAcentral.
GAUGAACGCUAGCUACAGGCUUAACACAUGCAAGUCGAGGGGCAGCAUGAACUUAGCUUGCUAAGUUUGAUGGCGACCGGCGCACGGGUGAGUAACACGUAUCCAACCUUCCGUUUACUCAGGGAUAGCCUUUCGAAAGAAAGAUUAAUACCUGAUAGUAUGGUGAGAUUGCAUGAUAGCACCAUUAAAGAUUUAUUGGUAAACGAUGGGGAUGCGUUCCAUUAGGUAGUAGGCGGGGUAACGGCCCACCUAGCCUACGAUGGAUAGGGGUUCUGAGAGGAAGGCCCCCCACAUUGGAACUGAGACACGGUCCAAACUCCUACGGGAGGCAGCAGUGAGGAAUAUUGGUCAAUGGACGAGAGUCUGAACCAGCCAAGUAGCGUGAAGGAUGAAGGUCCUACGGAUUGUAAACUUCUUUUAUAAGGGAAUAAACCCUCCCACGUGUGGGAGCUUGUAUGUACCUUAUGAAUAAGCAUCGGCUAACUCCGUGCCAGCAGCCGCGGU